Molecule: ribosomal RNA, 778 nt
Filed under: uncultured bacterium
Lineage: Bacteria
Description: bacterial SSU rRNA
Rfam family: Bacterial small subunit ribosomal RNA
Source: RNAcentral
AUAUAAAGGAAGUUUUCGGAUGGAAUUCAUAUUGACCGAUUUGGCGGACGGGUGAGUAACGCGUGGGUAACCUGCCUCAUACAGGGGGAUAACAGUUAGAAAUGACUGCUAAUACCGCAUAAGCGCACAGAAUCGCAUGACUGGGUGUGAAAAACUCCGGUGGUAUGAGAUGGACCCGCGUCUGAUUAGCUAGUUGGUGGGGUAAAGGCCUACCAAGGCGACGAUCAGUAGCCGACCUGAGAGGGUGAUCGGCCACAUUGGGACUGAGACACGGCCCAAACUCCUACGGGAGGUAGCAGUGGGGAAUAUUGCACAAUGGGGGAAACCCUGAUGCAGCAACGCCGCGUGAGUGAAGAAGUAUUUUGGUAUGUAAAGCUCUAUCAGCAGGGAAGAAGAUGACGGUACCUGAUUAAGAAGCCCCGGCUAACUACGUGCCAGCAGCCGCGGUAAUACGUAGGGGGCAAGCGUUAUGCGGAUUUACUGGGUGUAAAGGGAGCGUAGACGGCAUAGCAAGUCUGAAGUGAAAGCCCAAGGCUCAACCAUGGGACUGCUUUGGAAACUGUUAAGCUAGAGUGCUGGAGAGGUAAGCGGAAUCCCUAGUGUAGCGGUGAAAUGCGUAGAUAUUAGGAAGAACACCAGUGGCGAAGGCGGCUUACUGGACAGUAACUGACGUCGAGGCUCGAAAGCGUGGGGAGCAAACAGGAUUAGAUACCCUGGUAGUCCACGCCGUANACGAUGAAUGCUAGGUGUUGGGGAGCAAAGCUNCUCGGUGCCGCCG